RNAcentral lists this long non-coding RNA (207 nucleotides) under Homo sapiens (human). RNAcentral's name for it is "HSALNT0400393". The record is from RNAcentral. Lineage: Eukaryota; Metazoa; Chordata; Mammalia; Primates; Hominidae.
GGUCGGCCUGAGUACCCCUGCGGUGCUCCCUCACCCGAGGGUCGAUCUCGCCAAGAGCAGAACCCCGAAGCCUCAGGGGUUGCCUUAGGGUGUGUGUUUCAAUGCCUCUGCUCAAGGACUCUGUGUGUGUGUGUGUGUGUGUGUGUGUGUGUGUGUGUGUGUGUGUGUGUGUGUGUGAGACUCUGUGUGUGUGUGUGUGUGUGUGUG